This 457-nucleotide ribosomal RNA is filed under the name uncultured bacterium. RNAcentral describes it as "bacterial SSU rRNA". It matches the Rfam family "Bacterial small subunit ribosomal RNA", at positions 29 to 524 of the family's 1533-position model. The record is from RNAcentral.
AACGAACGCUGGCGGCAUGCCUAACACAUGCAAGUCGAACGGGAUCCUAGCUUGCUAGGUGAGAGUGGCGGACGGGUGAGUAACACGUGGGAAUCUGCCUUUUGGUUCGGGAUAACCGCGGGAAACUGCGGCUAAUACCGAAUGCCCUCGUGAGAGGAAAGAUUUAUCGCCAGAAGAGGAGCCCGCGUCCGAUUAGGUAGUUGGUGGGGUAAAGCCUACCAAGCCGACGAUCGGUAGCUGGUCUGAGAGGAUGAUCAGCCGCACUGGGACUGAGAUACGGCCCAGACUCCUACGGGAGGCAGCAGUGGGGAAUAUUGGACAAUGGGGGCAACCCUGAUCCAGCAAUGCCGCGUGAGUGAUGAAGGCCUUAGGGUUGUAAAGCUCUUUUGCUAGGGAAGAUGAUGACUGUACCUGGAGAAUAAGCCCCGGCUAACUUCGUGCCAGCAGCCGCGGUAAU